RNAcentral lists this ribosomal RNA (783 nucleotides) under uncultured Mycobacterium sp. RNAcentral describes it as "bacterial SSU rRNA". It matches the Rfam family "Bacterial small subunit ribosomal RNA", at positions 569 to 1350 of the family's 1533-position model. Lineage: Bacteria; Bacillati; Actinomycetota; Actinomycetes; Mycobacteriales; Mycobacteriaceae. The record is from RNAcentral.
UCGUAGGUGGUUUGUCGCGUUGUUCGUGAAAUCUCACGGCUUAACUGUGAGCGUGCGGGCGAUACGGGCAGACUUGAGUACUGCAGGGGAGACUGGAAUUCCUGGCGUAGCGGUGGAAUGCGCAGAUAUCAGGAGGAACACCGGUGGCGAAGGCGGGUCUCUGGGCAGUAACUGACGCUGAGGAGCGAAAGCGUGGGGAGCGAACAGGAUUAGAUACCCUGGUAGUCCACGCCGUAAACGGUGGGUACUAAGUGUGGGUUUCCUUCCUUGGGAUCCGUGCCGUAGCUAACGCAUUAAGUACCCCGCCUGGGGAGUACGGCCGCAAGGCUAAAACUCAAAGAAAUUGACGGGGGCCCGCACAAGCGGCGGAGCAUGUGGAUUAAUUCGAUGCAACGCGAAGAACCUUACCUGGGUUUGACAUGCACAGGACGCCGGCAGAGAUGUCGGUUCCCUUGUGGCCUGUGUGCAGGUGGUGCAUGGCUGUCGUCAGCUCGUGUCGUGAGAUGUUGGGUUAAGUCCCGCAACGAGCGCAACCCUUGUCUCAUGUUGCCAGCGGGUAAUGCCGGGGACUCGUGAGAGACUGCCGGGGUCAACUCGGAGGAAGGUGGGGAUGACGUCAAGUCAUCAUGCCCCUUAUGUCCAGGGCUUCACACAUGCUACAAUGGCCGGUACAAAGGGCUGCGAUGCCGCGAGGUUAAGCGAAUCCUUUUAAAGCCGGUCUCAGUUCGGAUCGGGGUCUGCAACUCGACCCCGUGAAGUCGGAGUCGCUAGUAAUCGCAGAUC